GAUAUAUUCUCGGUGAAGGAGUUAGCAACUGCAAUUUGCGCUCAAACCUGGCUGUUCCAUUAACUUUUAUAAUGAACCUGAAAACUGAGUGCUGGAGUAUUAUUAAAGCUGCUAUUUUACAGGUGGUGGGAGAGAGGAUCUUGAAGUUGUCUUCCUCUUUCUGGCUUAUUUCACUUAACAUAACAUCCUCCAAGUUCAUCCAUAUUGCUCCAAAUUACAGAAUUUCCAUAUUUUUAAAGAAAGAAUAGUAUUUCAUUGUGUAUAUUUACCACAAUUUUCUUUAUUCUUUCUUCUAUUGAUGGAUACAGGUUGAUUCCAUACCUCGGCUAUUGUGAAUAAUGCAGCAAUGACUAUGAGAGGGCAGAUAUCUCUUCUACAUAUUGAUGGCACUUCUUUUGGAUUUAUACCCAGUAGUGGGAUUGAGGGAUCAUAUGGUAGUUCUAUUUUUAAUUUUUUGAAGAACAUCCACACUGUUUUCUGUACUAUUGCCACCAACAGUAUGCAAAGAUUCAGAUUUUCUCCCCAUUCUCUCUGAUACUUAUCCUGCAUCUUAUUGUUAGUAGCCAUUCUAACGGGUGUGUGCUUAGAUUCCACUCUGGUUGUAAUUUGCAUUUGUCUGUCGAUUCAGGAUUGUAUGUGGUUUCAUUUUAGAUUUUAGAUUUUUUUUCUAUUUUUGGGAAGAAUGUCAUUGAUAUUUUCAUAGAAAUUGCACUGAAUCGCUACAUCACUGUGGGUAAUACUGAUAUUUUAACAAUAACAAUCUUUUUUAUUGUUCUUUUAGUCUCAAAUUCAUCUAUUUAUUUCCUAAUCUUUAUUUUGUUCCUUCUAGUAAUUUGGAGUUUGGUUUAUUCUUGCUUUUCUAGUUAUUUGAAGUGCAUCAUUGGGUUAUUUAUUUAAAAUAUUUCUAUUUUUUUGAUGGAGGAGCUCAUUACUACACAUUCCUCUCUUUCUACAGCUUUGCUGUAUACCAUAGAUUUUAGUAUGUUGUGUUUCUACUUUCAUUUGUUUUAAGAAAAUUUUAAAUUUUUUUCUUAAUUUUUUCAUUUACUCAUUGAUGUUUCAAGAGCAUGUUGUUUAAUUUCCAUGUGUUUUUAUAUUUUCUGAAGUUCCACCGGUUACUUAUUUCUAGUUUUAUUCCAUUGUUGUCAGAAAAGAUACUUGAUAUAAUUGCAAAUUUUUUAAUUUGUUGAAAUUUGUUUUAUAGCCUAACUUAUUGUCUAUCCUGUAGAGUGUUCUAUAUGCUGAUGAGAAGAAUGUAUAUUCUGCAGCAAUUGGAUGAAAUGUUCUAUAAAUGUCAGUUAGGCUCAUGUGGUCCAGGGCAUGGUUUAAUUUCAAUAUUUCUUCAUUGAUGUGUACAUUAUUGAGAGUGGAGUGCUGAUGUCCUCUACUAUUAUUAUUUUGAAGUUUAUCUGUCCAUUAGAUCUAUUAAUGUUUGCUUUAUAUAUUUUGUGCUCUGGUGUUAUGUGCACAUCUAUUUAAAAUUGUUAUAUCCUCCUGCUAAAUUAGUCCCUUUAUUUCAAUAUUGUGACUUUCUUUGUCUCUUUUUGCAGUCUUUGAAUUGAAGUCUAUUUCAUCUAAUAUAAGUACCUAUAAUCCUGAUUUUUUUUGUUUUACAUUAGCAUGGAAUAUCUAUUUUCCAUCAUAUC
Molecule: long non-coding RNA, 1646 nt
Filed under: Homo sapiens (human)
Lineage: Eukaryota; Metazoa; Chordata; Mammalia; Primates; Hominidae
Description: non-protein coding lnc-TDO2-6:1
Source: RNAcentral